RNAcentral lists this ribosomal RNA (800 nucleotides) under uncultured bacterium. RNAcentral describes it as "bacterial SSU rRNA". It matches the Rfam family "Bacterial small subunit ribosomal RNA", at positions 64 to 860 of the family's 1533-position model. The record is from RNAcentral.
GAACGGCAGCGCGGGAGCAAUCCUGGCGGCGAGUGGCGAACGGGUGAGUAAUACAUCGGAACGUGCCCAAUCGUGGGGGAUAACGCAGCGAAAGCUGUGCUAAUACCGCAUACGAUCUACGGAUGAAAGCAGGGGGUCGCAAGACCUUGCGCGAAUGGAGCGGCCGAUGGCAGAUUAGGUAGUUGGUGAGGUAAAGGCUCACCAAGCCUUCGAUCUGUGGCUGGUCUGAGAGGAUGACCAGCCACACUGGGACUGAGACACGGCCCAGACUCCUACGGGAGGCAGCAGUGGGGAAUUUUGGACAAUGGGCGCAAGCCUGAUCCAGCCAUGCCGCGUGCAGGAUGAAGGCCUUCGGGUUGUAAACUGCUUUUGUACGGAACGAAACGGCCUUUUCUAAUAAAGAGGGCUAAUGACGGUACCGUAAGAAUAAGCACCGGCUAACUACGUGCCAGCAGCCGCGGUAAUACGUAGGGUGCAAGCGUUAAUCGGAAUUACUGGGCGUAAAGCGUGCGCAGGCGGUAAUGUAAGACAGUUGUGAAAUCCCCGGGCUCAACCUGGGAACUGCAUCUGUGACUGCAUUGCUGGAGUACGGCAGAGGGGGAUGGAAUUCCGCGUGUAGCAGUGAAAUGCGUAGAUAUGCGGAGGAACACCGAUGGCGAAGGCAAUCCCCUGGGCCUGUACUGACGCUCAUGCACGAAAGCGUGGGGAGCAAAUAGGAUUAGAUACCCUGGUAGUCCACGCCCUAAACGAUGUCAACUGGUUGUUGGGAAUUCACUUUCUCAGUAACGAAGCUAACGCGU